RNAcentral lists this transfer RNA (74 nucleotides) under Trichonephila inaurata madagascariensis. It matches the Rfam family "tRNA". Rfam says of the family: Transfer RNA (tRNA) molecules are approximately 80 nucleotides in length. Lineage: Eukaryota; Metazoa; Arthropoda; Arachnida; Araneae; Nephilidae. The record is from Rfam by way of RNAcentral.
AGCGCUGUGGCUCAGUUGGUUAAAGCGCCUGUCUAGUAAACAGGAGAUCACAAGUUCGAAUCUCAUCGGUGCCA